UAACAAAGUAGGCGUAUUGGAAAAUGUGCCUGGUAUAAA
RNAcentral lists this ribosomal RNA (39 nucleotides) under Leptasterias aequalis. RNAcentral describes it as "partial 12S ribosomal RNA". The record is from RNAcentral. Lineage: Eukaryota; Metazoa; Echinodermata; Asteroidea; Forcipulatida; Asteriidae.